This 892-nucleotide ribosomal RNA is filed under the name uncultured bacterium. RNAcentral's name for it is "bacterial SSU rRNA". It matches the Rfam family "Bacterial small subunit ribosomal RNA", at positions 10 to 916 of the family's 1533-position model. The record is from RNAcentral.
AGUUUGAUCCUGGCUCAGGACGAACGCUGGCGGCGCGCCUCAUACAUGCAAGUCGAACGUGAAGCGGGGCUUCGGCCCCGUGGAAAGUGGCGAACGGGUGCGUAACACGUGAGCAACCUGCCCCGAAGACUGGGAUAACCCGAGGAAACUCGGGCUAAUACCGGAUGCCCUCACCGGAUCGCAUGGUCUGGUGAGGAAAUGGAUUCCGCUUCGGGAUGGGCUCGCGGUCUAUCAGCUUGUUGGUGGGGUAACGGCCUACCAAGGCGACGACGGAUAGCUGGUCUGAGAGGACGAUCAGCCACACUGGGACUGAGACACGGCCCAGACUCCUACGGGAGGCAGCAGUAGGGAAUCUUGCGCAAUGGGGGAAACCCUGACGCAGCGACGCCGCGUGCGGGAUGAAGGCCUUCGGGUUGUAAACCGCUUUCAGCAGGGACGAAAUUGACGGUACCUGCAGAAGAAGGCCCGGCCAACUACGUGCCAGCAGCCGCGGUAAUACGUAGGGGCCAAGCGUUGUCCGGAUUUAUUGGGCGUAAAGAGCUCGUAGGCGGUUCGGUAAGUCAGCUGUGAAAUCUCCACGCUCAACGUGGAGGGGUCAGCUGAUACUGCCGUGACUUGAGUCUGGUAGGGGAGUGCGGAAUUCCCGGUGUAGCGGUGAAAUGCGCAGAUAUCGGGAGGAACACCAGUGGCGAAGGCGGCACUCUGGGCCAGUACUGACGCUGAGGAGCGAAAGCGUGGGGAGCGAACAGGAUUAGAUACCCUGGUAGUCCACGCCGUAAACGUUGGGCACUAGGUGUGGGAACCUAUCGACGGUUUCCGUGCCGUAGCUAACGCAUUAAGUGCCCCGCCUGGGGAGUACGGCCGCAAGGCUAAAACUCAAAGGAAUUGACGG